CCAAAUCUCCGUCUGUCCCCGGUCACGGAUGCCCAGUUUUCUCCUUAUGUUGGUGGAAUGGCCUUCUCUCCUACUUCAUCACCCGGAUACAGCCCAUCAUCACCAGGCUACAGUCCGUCAUCUCCUGGAUACAGUCCCACGUCACCUGGAUACAGCCCAACUUCGCCUGGAUACAGUCCCACCUCGCCUGGAUAUAGCCCUACCUCACCAACUUAUAGUCCAAGUUCUCCUGGUUAUAGUCCAACCAGUCCUGCCUAUUCUCCUACCAGUCCAUCGUACUCACCUACUUCACCAAGCUAUAGCCCAACCUCCCCAAGUUACAGCCCAACAUCCCCAAGCUACAGCCCGACCUCUCCAAGUUACAGCCCCACUUCUCCCAGUUACAGUCCAACUUCACCAAGCUAUAGCCCCACCUCACCGGCAUAUAGCCCCACCUCACCUGCAUAUAGCCCCACCUCACCUGCAUACAGCCCCACUUCACCAUCGUACAGCCCAACCUCUCCUUCCUACAGCCCAACAUCACCUUCGUACAGCCCUACCUCACCGUCAUACAGCCCCACUUCUCCAUCGUACAGCCCCACUUCACCAGCCUAUAGCCCCACUUCUCCUGGUUAUAGUCCAACUUCACCAAGUUAUAGCCCAACUUCACCAACCUAUAGUCCUACAUCCCCAAGCUACAAUCCUCAGUCUGCCAAAUACAGUCCGUCGCUGGCCUACUCACCAAGUAGUCCAAGAUUAUCUCCUGCCAGUCCGUACAGCCCUACAUCUCCAAAUUACAGGUAAGCCAUAGUGCGAUAUGUGGUCAAGUCUAAUGUUUGUGUUAAAAGCUGUAUCCAAUUUAUUAGGUCUUGUUUUUGAUAGAAUUCUAUAUACUGAAAUAUCUGUUGAACCUAAGACUUGCUGUAGCUGGGGAUUGGACUUGGAUGGGUUUAAAUUAUUAAUGAUUUUAUCUCUGUUGUUUUUAACAUUAUUAUAUCUGGAUGAUUAUGUUGAUGUAUCUUGUAAGCAACUUUUCUUUUUACGCAGUCCAACAUCAUCUUCGUAUUCACCGACAUCUCCCUCUAUGAUACUGGACCAAUGAUGAGAUGUUCAUUUGAAGAAACGGUUGACAUUCUUCUUGAUGCUGCAGUCUUUGCAGAAUCAGAUUAUUUGAGGGGGGUCACUGAGAAUAUAAUGUUAGGUCAGCUUGCGCCUAUUGGGACAGGAGACUGUUCAUUGUAUCUCAAUGAUGAGAUGCUGAAAAAUGCCAUCGAACUUCAGCUUCCUAGUUAUAUGGAAGGUCUGGAGUUUGGCAUGACACCUGCUCGUUCUCCGGUGUCUGGGACUCCUUAUCAUGAUGGCAUGAUGUCUCCAGGUUACUUGUUUAGCCCAAAUCUCCGUCUGUCCCCGGUCACGGAUGCCCAGUUUUCUCCUUAUGUUGGUGGAAUGGCCUUCUCUCCUACUUCAUCACCCGGAUACAGCCCAUCAUCACCAGGCUACAGUCCGUCAUCUCCUGGAUACAGUCCCACGUCACCUGGAUACAGCCCAACUUCGCCUGGAUACAGUCCCACCUCGCCUGGAUAUAGCCCUACCUCACCAACUUAUAGUCCAAGUUCUCCUGGUUAUAGUCCAACCAGUCCUGCCUAUUCUCCUACCAGUCCAUCGUACUCACCUACUUCACCAAGCUAUAGCCCAACCUCCCCAAGUUACAGCCCAACAUCCCCAAGCUACAGCCCGACCUCUCCAAGUUACAGCCCCACUUCUCCCAGUUACAGUCCAACUUCACCAAGCUAUAGCCCCACCUCACCGGCAUAUAGCCCCACCUCACCUGCAUAUAGCCCCACCUCACCUGCAUACAGCCCCACUUCACCAUCGUACAGCCCAACCUCUCCUUCCUACAGCCCAACAUCACCUUCGUACAGCCCUACCUCACCGUCAUACAGCCCCACUUCUCCAUCGUACAGCCCCACUUCACCAGCCUAUAGCCCCACUUCUCCUGGUUAUAGUCCAACUUCACCAAGUUAUAGCCCAACUUCACCAACCUAUAGUCCUACAUCCCCAAGCUACAAUCCUCAGUCUGCCAAAUACAGUCCGUCGCUGGCCUACUCACCAAGUAGUCCAAGAUUAUCUCCUGCCAGUCCGUACAGCCCUACAUCUCCAAAUUACAGGUAAGCCAUAGUGCGAUAUGUGGUCAAGUCUAAUGUUUGUGUUAAAAGCUGUAUCCAAUUUAUUAGGUCUUGUUUUUGAUAGAAUUCUAUAUACUGAAAUAUCUGUUGAACCUAAGACUUGCUGUAGCUGGGGAUUGGACUUGGAUGGGUUUAAAUUAUUAAUGAUUUUAUCUCUGUUGUUUUUAACAUUAUUAUAUCUGGAUGAUUAUGUU
Molecule: long non-coding RNA, 2359 nt
Filed under: Citrus sinensis (sweet orange)
Lineage: Eukaryota; Viridiplantae; Streptophyta; Magnoliopsida; Sapindales; Rutaceae
Description: long non-coding RNA (CSIN_LNC000470)
Source: RNAcentral